This 449-nucleotide non-coding RNA is filed under the name Trichomonas vaginalis G3. Its description in RNAcentral is "Eukaryotic large subunit ribosomal RNA". It matches the Rfam family "Eukaryotic large subunit ribosomal RNA", at positions 2680 to 3132 of the family's 3401-position model. The record is from Rfam by way of RNAcentral. Lineage: Eukaryota; Parabasalia; Trichomonadida; Trichomonadidae.
AGGACAGAAAUCUCACGUUGAGGAUAAGGCCUAAAGCUCAAUUUACUGUGCCUUUUUGUACUAGGAUCAGUUACGAAAGUAAGGCCUAACGAUCCCUAAAUAGCCUCACGUGCGUGAGGAUUGGGGUGACAGACAAGUUACCUCCGGGACAACUGGCUUGUGGCUGCUAAGAGAUCAAAUCAACGCAGCUUUUUGAUUCUUCGAUGUCGGCUCUUCCUAUCCUAGUGAUGUACAAGUUGCUAAGGGUCGGAUUGUUCACCCGUAUUAGGGAUCGUGAGCUGGGUUUAGACCGUCGUGAGCCAGGUUUGUUUUAUCCUACUGGAUAUAGCAUCAUGAUAGUAGAUUGAUUUAGUACGAGAGGAACUGUUGAUUAUGGCCUCUGGUUAGCGAUUAUCGGAAACGGUAUGUCGCGCAGCUACGCCGUCUGGGAUAAUGGCUGAAAGCCUCUU